CACACGACCGUACCGCAAACCGACACUGGUGCGCGAGAUGAGUAUUCUAAGGCGCUUGAGAGAACUCAGGAGAAGGAACUCGGCAAAUUGACACCGUAACUUCGGAAGAAGGUGUGCCUUUAGUAGGUGAAGUCCCUCGCGGAUGGAGCCCAAUGAGGUUGCAAAAAAUCGGUGGCUGCGACUGUUUAUUAAAAACACAGCACUCUGCAAACACGAAAGUGGACGUAUAGGGUGUGACGCCUGCCCGGUGCUGGAAGAUUAAAUGAUGGGGUGCAAGCUCUUGAUUGAAGUCCCAGUAAACGGCGGCCGUAACAAUAACGGUCCUAAGGUAGCGAAAUUCCUUGUCGGGUAAGUUCCGACCUGCACGAAUGGCGUAACGAUGGCCACACUGUCUCCUCCUGAGACUCAGCGAAGUUGAAAUGUUUGUGAUGAUGCAAUCUCCCCGCGGAAAGACGGAAAGACCCCAUGAACCUUUACUGUAGCUUUGUAUUGGACUUUGAACAGAUCUGUGUAGGAUAGGUGGGAGGCUUUGAAGCAGGGUCGCUAGAUCUUGUGGAGCCAACGUUGAAAUACCACCCUGGUGUGUUUGAGGUUCUAACCUAGGCCCGUAAUCCGGGUUGGGGACAGUGCAUGGUAGGCAGUUUGACUGGGGCGGUCUCCUCCCAAAGUGUAACGGAGGAGUUCGAAGGUACGCUAGUUACGGUCGGACAUCGUGACGAUAGUGCAAUGGCAUAAGCGUGCUUAACUGCGAGACUGACAAGUCGAGCAGAUGCGAAAGCAGGACAUAGUGAUCCGGUGGUUCUGUAUGGAAGGGCCAUCGCUCAACGGAUAAAAGGUACUCUGGAUAACAGGCUGAUACCGCCCAAGAGUUCAUAUCGACGGCGGUGUUUGGCACCUCGAUGUCGGCUCAUCUCAUCCUGGGGCUGUAGCCGGUCCCAAGGGUAUGGCUGUUCGCCAUUUAAAGAGGUACGUGAGCUGGGUUUAAAACGUCGUGAGACAGUUUGGUCCCUAUCUUCCGUGGGCGCUGCAGAUUUGAGGAAGCCUGCUCCUAGUACGAGAGGACCGGAGUGGACGCACCUCUGGUGUAUCGGUUGUCACGCCAGUGGCAUUGCCGAGUAGCUAUGUGCGGAAGAGAUAACCGCUGAAAGCAUCUAAGCGGGAAACUCGUUUCAAGAUGAGAUCUGCCGGGGCCUUGAGCCCCCUGAAGAGUCGUUCAAGACCAGGACGUUGAUAGGUCGGGUGUGGAAGCGCAGUAAUGCGUUAAGCUAACCGAUACUAAUUGCUCGUGCGGCUUGACCA
Molecule: ribosomal RNA, 1299 nt
Filed under: metagenome
Description: bacterial LSU rRNA
Rfam family: Bacterial large subunit ribosomal RNA
Source: RNAcentral